UUGUUUACAAAGUCUCAAUUCGACCUCAGAUCAAGCGAGAUUACCCGCUGAAUUUAAGCAUAUAACUAAGCGGAGGAAAAGAAACCAAACGGGAUUCUCUGAGUAACGGCGAGCGAAAGGAGAAUAGUCCAGCGCCAAGUCUUGACGUUCAGGCGUUCAAGAGAUGCGGCGUUCAUGUGUUGAUGCAUCGUGCGUUGCUGUAUGUUUCAAGUUCCUUUGACUAGGACUUCCAGAGCGGGUGCUAGGCCCAUAGAGACGAACGGCUGACGUAUGCAGGUCAACACAUUCUAGAGUCAGGUUGCUUGAGAGUGCAGCUUAAAGUCGGUGGUAAACUCCAUCUAAGACUAAAUAUGACAGCGAGACCGAUAGCAAACAAGUACCGUGAGGGAAAGUUGCAAAGCACUUUGAAGAGAGAGUCAAAAAGUACGUGAAACCACUGGUGGGCAAGCAGAUGGAACCACGAAGUUGCGUCUCGGUCGAUUCAAUCGUUUUGUGUUGUCAACGGUGACGGAAGUGGAUCUUUUCGGAGGUCGUUCCGGCGCUUUUCGACGACAUAAAACGGUGCAUUUCGUACCGAGAAUGCUAAGCCACGUUCGACUAGACGAUUGGAACGGCCGUAGGAUAGAACAUGAGGAAGGUGCCCGUCAGAUCUUUGGUCUGGCGGCGUUAUAGUCUCGUGUUGGAACCGUUGCCUAAUGUACUGGUCGAUGAAAAUUCUCCGAUUGGAGUUUUGAACGGUGAUUGCCUGUAGGCGUUAGUCGUUGUUUCGUGGCGUUCUUUGCGUAUCUUUGGGUGCGAAAAGGCGUCUCAACAAUGGCGGCUAGCGUUUGCUUGCGUAUCGCUGUGGAACUGUGGCGCGAGUAGGUCGGUGUCCAUCUGACCCGUCUUGAAACACGGACCAAGGAGCCUAUCAUAUACGCGAGUCGCUCGGUCUUGAAUAGGCCCGAGAGGCGCAAUGAAAGUAAAGCUACGAGGCUUCGGUCGCAGUAGCGGCUCGCCCACUUCGUUUAUCGGCGAUCGGGCGAAGCUGGAGCGUAUACGAUGGUACCCGAAAGAUGGUGAACUAUGC
RNAcentral lists this ribosomal RNA (1069 nucleotides) under Otodectes cynotis (ear mite). RNAcentral's name for it is "eukaryotic LSU rRNA". It matches the Rfam family "Eukaryotic large subunit ribosomal RNA", at positions 1 to 836 of the family's 3401-position model. Lineage: Eukaryota; Metazoa; Arthropoda; Arachnida; Sarcoptiformes; Psoroptidae. The record is from RNAcentral.